AGCAGGGAGAGCUCAGCCGCAGUGUGCACUACCACACCAGUGACUGCCCGGCUCUCUCGCUCUUUAGAUUUCUCUCCGCCGUGGUGCUGCUGCUGGUGGUGGUGCUGGUGGUGGUGGUGGUGGUGCUCCCGUCUGAAUGGCCACGGUUGGAGUCUGGGCGUCUGGAUGUCAGCGCUAUCUUCCAGUGCACGGUGCUGCCCUUGGGCCUGCUGACAGCCAGCUGUUGAAGGUGUGUCAAACAGAGGGACUGGGAAGCGGCAGCAGCAGCAGCAGCAGCAGCAGCCUCGGGACCAGUCAGAGCUUGGUUUGGGCCUGAAAGACGUGCCAGACCUGCUGCCAAAGCAUCGGCCUCC
Molecule: long non-coding RNA, 353 nt
Filed under: Sparus aurata (gilthead seabream)
Lineage: Eukaryota; Metazoa; Chordata; Actinopteri; Spariformes; Sparidae
Description: lncRNA (ENSSAUG00010007532.1)
Source: RNAcentral